ACGUAUGCGUCAGAGGCGGUUCGUGGGCCAGGCUAGCAGCGUGGGCAGAUGGGUUUCUAGGCGGCCGUCGACCGCCGACGAGGUGAGCCGUGGAUCAGGUUCUCGAUUUCCGUCUGCUCCGUGGCUCAGAAAAGUCGCUGCUCCACGCAUUGAAUGCAAGGUGUGUCUGUUUUGUCCCAACGCGGCCGUCAUUUUGGAGAUUCAGAAGCAAGGAGGGGAGAGAGUGGAAGAACAGGCGACCGACAGGAUGGCUCAUGCAAUCAGGAGGCAUGUCGAUCCGAUCCAAUCUGAUUGAGGAGGUUGGGGGAGAGUCUAGUGCUGGAAGGGUCGCCGGCACAUGGCGCCAGGCGGACAGUGGUCAAGGUGACGCUGCAGGAGGCCACGGGUGUGAGCGCCAAAGGGCGGAUCUGCGGCGUGGCUGAAGCGGCGGCAGUGGCAAGGGGCAGCGGCAGUGACAAGGGGCAGCCCGCCUCUGACUUCCGAGCUGUCGACGGGGAAGAUGAAUCCUCAGGCUCCUCGUUAGAACAAGAGUUUGGUUUAAUUUCUGCGGGGAAGACUCCAUGGUGUGACAUGAAUUAGCGUGCAAACUGAUUGUUCUGAAUUGGAAUUAAAUUCAACAUUGCUAUGAAGAUUUACGGUUGAGGAUUGGAGUCUCUGCCCCAAGCUUGACACCUUGCUCACCCCGCAUAAGCGCUUUUGAGAAGGCAGUUAGGGUCUUCGUAGAAAACCCGACUGAAGAUGAGCCGUGGCUUGUAAUUUGGCGGUGGUAAUCUGGUUCGCGGACCAGGAAAUUCGCUUUCCGUUAGGUGGAUGGCUUGAAUCAUUCGCUGCAGGCCGGUGGCUCCCCGACUGCGGUAUCCAAAUCCAUUUCCAGUCAGCGGGGUGCUGCAGCGCACAUGACUCCAUUCCAGUGAUGGAGUUCCUAAUGCAGCCAAUUAGAAGGUAUCCUAUUGUGGAGGAGGUGAGUGAGAGUGAGCAGGAGAUGGAUCUGCCAGCGAACAGGGCGGUGACGACUUUCCCGAUAGUGGAUGAACCAUCGGCGGCCUAUCCGCGUAGAUGUGUGAGUUACAGAACGCCGUGUUGGGAAGACGGAAGAGCCCGUCGCAGCAGUCUGAACUAUCAACUGGUAAGAUGAACCUGCAGGCGCUGUGAUGGUCUAAAAGGUGCACGCGUGUAAGCUUGGAUUGGAUCUGAAUUUAUUGAGAAUGCUUGAAUGAAAUUGUAGUAGAAUGCAUAGAUCUAUCGAUGUAGUGACAUUCAUUCAGUAGCAUGAGAAAUUGUCUACAUGGAACUUUUAGAGCACGUUUGUAUUAAUAAUUGACUACACUGUACUAGUUGAAAUUAGCUCAUGAUUGAGCAAUUCUGUAGAAAAAAAGUACAUGCCGUUCGGACAAUUUGUCGGUUGAAAAACCAUAACCAGAGUGUGAUCUUAGCUGGCGUCCUGGUACACGAUGAGACCGUGUAGAGUUUUGAGUGGUUUUUUUUACUGAAUUCUUGAGGAUUAUGGGACCUGUAGCACCAAGGACAAUCCUAACGGGUAUGUUGAUUAAGGACAUUUCUUAAAAAGAGUACUUGAAGAUGGUGCUGGUAGUAUGAUGAUAUGAUUGUUUCUUGUUUUUGUUCAUGUGCAGACCAGAAUCGAGCUGCGGAGGUCGCAAUUAAGAGUGUGAUGCUUGUUGGUGUGCCGACGGCUGGGGCACAAGAGAACUACUCCCUCCGUUUCUAAAUAAAGACUUAUAUUUAGGAAGAGAGGAAGUACUUAUCUAGAUCGUGGUGAUGUGCCAAAGCAGCCUUGGAAGCCGACGAGGUGCAAAAAUUGUGGUGUGGUGGGGCACCAAAGGAAUAAUUUUACGAAAGCAAUGGACCUGAGGUUAGCUGGUGGCGUGUAGUGGUGAGUGAAAAAUGCCAAACGAUUUCAGUAAGUUUGAAUGGUCAAAGUGUGACUUUGUUUUCUGCAUUCGUGAUGUGUUUGUGCAACUGAGCAACUGCCCUGCGUGCAGGCAUGCUUUAUGUCUCGAGUUGUAAUACAAAUGUAUUCAGUGAUGCAUUAGUGGGUGCUGUGAAGUAUCUAGGGUUGAAAAAAAUAUCCUUUUUUCAGUUGGGUUUAUGGAAGGUGAACUGCUUAAUUAGAUGGAACCAUGCAAGUGGACUGAAUUUCUAUAAUCAGUUGUUGUUUUGUAUGCUUGACGGAAGUCUACAGCCGGGCAGAUGGAUAUAGUCGUCAGUGCGGGCGACGACGGCUCUAUGGUGACCUUGCAUGCAGGUAUCAGCAGAUGAUGCAGAGGGGACAUUGUCGAGCAAGCGUCAAAUGUGGCAAUGCAGAGUGAGGAUGCAAUAAAGUAUUGGACUGACGCUUCAGAAGGCGUGACACGUUCCACUGGACUAGGCGCCGGAAUAUGAUCCAGUCAACCUGGCGGCUGUUGAUGUUGUUGGGGAGGGCUAAGGUGAUUAUGAUCCAGUAAUGAAUCAUGGAGAUGAGUCGAACAAAUUGUUCGGUGUCGACAAUGGAUCCGUCAUCCGUUGCUGGAAAUGGGUGUGUUAUUCCGACGAGGAGUAUGCAGAAGUGAGAAAUUCUGAACCAAAACGACGGCGGCUCGUUUAGGGAAGAACCAGGAUCAGUUUGCUGGCGUUGCGUCGGGUAAUGAUGUCAUUACCCGCCUAGUGCUGGUGUUGUGAUGCAAUCCAUGUACAAGUUUGUUGUGCUGUCAUAGUUAAUUAAGAUUCAUAAUCAUCAUAUCACAUUUGUCU
This is a non-coding RNA of Aegilops tauschii subsp. strangulata, 2748 nucleotides long. The record is from RefSeq and is a predicted model, not a curated record. Lineage: Eukaryota; Viridiplantae; Streptophyta; Magnoliopsida; Poales; Poaceae.